UACAGAGGGUGCAAGCGUUGUUCGGAAUUACUGGGCGUAAAGCGCGCGCAGGCGGCUAUCCAAGUCAGUGGUGAAAGCCCGGAGCUCAACUCCAGAACUGCCUUCGAUACUGGAAGACUUGAGUCCGGGAGAGGUGAGUGGAACUGCGAGUGUAGAGGUGAAAUUCGUAGAUAUUCGCAAGAACACCAGUGGCGAAGGCGGCUCACUGGCCCCGGUACUGACGC
This 224-nucleotide ribosomal RNA is filed under the name uncultured bacterium. Its description in RNAcentral is "partial 16S ribosomal RNA". It matches the Rfam family "Bacterial small subunit ribosomal RNA", at positions 524 to 746 of the family's 1533-position model. The record is from RNAcentral.